Molecule: long non-coding RNA, 307 nt
Filed under: Mustela putorius furo (domestic ferret)
Lineage: Eukaryota; Metazoa; Chordata; Mammalia; Carnivora; Mustelidae
Description: lncRNA (ENSMPUG00000030684.1)
Source: RNAcentral
CCCAAAGGCAGCACUUCCAUCUCUACUGGGUCUCGGGGCUUAUUUGUUGAGAUAACUGCUGUCCCCACCCUCUCCACGCCCUGCCUCCUAGGGACACAGUGUGUGCUCUCCGGUCAACUGCACGCUGGGACAAGAACGUGGUCAGACUAAGACCAGCCUGUUCGGGCGAGAAAGUGCACUCAAAGCAGGAGGCAGAGGGAGAGGGAGAGCAGACUCCCCGCUGAGCGUGGACCCCCCCCCCGCCCUCCGACACAGGGCUCGAUCCCAGGACCCUGAGAUCAUGAGCUGAGCUGAAAUCCAGAGUCGG